UUCCGGUUGAUCCUGCCGGACCUGACUGCUAUCGGAUUGAUACUAAGCCAUGCGAGUCAUUGUAGUAAUACAAGGCAGACGGCUCAGUAACGCGUAGUCAACCUAACCUAUGGACGGGAAUAACCUCGGGAAACUGAGUAUAAUGCCCGAUAGAACAUUAUGCCUGGAAUGGUUUAUGUUUCAAAUGAUUUAUCGCCGUAGGAUGGGACUGCGGCCUAUCAGUUUGUUGGUGAGGUAAUGGCCCACCAAGACUAUUACAGGUACGGGCUCUGAGAGGAGUAGCCCGGAGAUGGGUACUGAGACACGGACCCAGGCCCUAUGGGGCGCAGCAGGCGAGAAAACUUUGCAAUGUGCGAAAGCACGACAAGGUUAAUCCGAGUGGUUUCUGCUAAAGAAACCUUUUGUUAGUCCUAGAAACACUAACGAAUAAGGGGUGGGCAAGUUCUGGUGUCAGCCGCCGCGGUAAAACCAGCACCUCAAGUGGUCAGGAUGAUUAUUGGGCCUAAAGCAUCCGUAGCCGGCUCAGUAAGUUUUCGGUUAAAUCUGUACGCUCAACGUACAGGCUGCCGGGAAUACUGCAGAGCUAGGGAGUGGGAGAGGUAGACGGUACUCGGGAGGAAGUGGUAAAAUGCUUUGAUCUUUCGAUGACCACCUGUGGCGAAGGCGGUCUACCAGAACACGUCCGACGGUGAGGGAUGAAAGCUGGGGGAGCAAACCGGAUUAGAUACCCGGGUAGUCC
This 739-nucleotide ribosomal RNA is filed under the name uncultured archaeon. Its description in RNAcentral is "bacterial SSU rRNA". It matches the Rfam family "Archaeal small subunit ribosomal RNA", at positions 1 to 747 of the family's 1478-position model. The record is from RNAcentral.